GGGUUGUGAGGUUAAGCGACUAAGCGUACACGGUGGAUGCCCUGGCAGUCAGAGGCGAUGAAGGGCGUGCUAAUCUGCGAUAAGCGCCGGUAAGGUGAUAUGAACCGUUAUAACCGGCGAUACCCGAAUGGGGAAACCCAGUGUGAUUCGUCACACUAUCAUUAACUGAAUCCAUAGGUUAAUGAGGCGAACCGGGGGAACUGAAACAUCUAAGUACCCCGAGGAAAAGAAAUCAACCGAGAUUCCCCCAGUAGCGGCGAGCGAACGGGGAGGAGCCCAGAGCCUGAAUCAGCAUGUGUGUUAGUGGAAGCGUCUGGAAAGGCGCGCGAUACAGGGUGACAGCCCCGUACACAAAAGCGCAUAUGCUGUGAGCUCGAUGAGUAGGGCGGGACACGUGGUAUCCUGUCUGAAUAUGGGGGGACCAUCCUCCAAGGCUAAAUACUCCUGACUGACCGAUAGUGAACCAGUACCGUGAGGGAAAGGCGAAAAGAACCCCGGCGAGGGGAGUGAAAAAGAACCUGAAACCGUGUACGUACAAGCAGUGGGAGCCCCACCACUAAGCCAGUGGUGAACUCCACAUACGCAUCCUUUGCUGAGGAGACGGUUAACGGAGCGAAAGCGACGUUCAACCUCAAAAGAAGCAGAGGGGGCUUAGUGGUGGGGUGACUGCGUACCUUUUGUAUAAUGGGUCAGCGACUUAUAUUCUGUAGCAAGGUUAACUGUAUAGGGGAGCCGGAGGGAAACCGAGUCUUAACCGGGCGUUAAGUUGCAGGGUAUAGACCCGAAACCCGGUGAUCUAGCCAUGGGCAGGUUGAAGGUUGGGUAACACUAACUGGAGGACCGAACCGACUAAUGUUGAAAAAUUAGCGGAUGACCUGUGGCUGGGGGUGAAAGGCCAAUCAAACCGGGAGAUAGCUGGUUCUCCCCGAAAGCUAUUUAGGUAGCGCCUCGUGAAUUCAUCUCCGGGGGUAGAGCACUGUUUCGGCUAGGGGGCCAUCCCGGCUUACCAACCCGAUGCAAACUGCGAAUACCGGAGAAUGUUAUCACGGGAGACACACGGCGGGUGCUAAUGUCCGUCGUGAAGAGGGAAACAACCCAGACCGCCAGCUAAGGUCCCAAAGUCAUGGUUAAGUGGGAAACGAUGUGGGAAGGCCCAGACAGCCAGGAUGUUGGCUUAGAAGCAGCCAUCAUUUAAAGAAAGCGUAAUAGCUCACUGGUCGAGUCGGCCUGCGCGGAAGAUGUAACGGGGCUAAACCAUGCACCGAAGCUGCGGCAGCGACACCGUGUGUUGUUGGGUAGGGGAGCGUUCUGUAAGC
Molecule: ribosomal RNA, 1316 nt
Filed under: Salmonella enterica subsp. enterica serovar Typhi str. CT18
Lineage: Bacteria; Pseudomonadati; Pseudomonadota; Gammaproteobacteria; Enterobacterales; Enterobacteriaceae
Description: partial 23S ribosomal RNA
Rfam family: Bacterial large subunit ribosomal RNA
Source: RNAcentral